UGAUGAAAAGAAAACGCACUUCUCAGGAGAAAGAAAACGAGUGGCUGAGGAAGAAUGUUCCUAAACGUACUCUGAGCAGAUGGAAAAGAAGGAAAAUCACCAGAACAUGCGCAGACAUUGAGCAACAUAGGCCUACUAUACAAUAUGAAAAUGAUGAAGAUUGUAGUCAAAGAGAAGAAAACACAAGGGC
This is a long non-coding RNA of Alosa alosa (allis shad), 190 nucleotides long. RefSeq lists it as uncharacterized. NCBI's taxonomy places the organism in Eukaryota, Metazoa, Chordata, Actinopteri, Clupeiformes, Clupeidae. The record is from RefSeq and is a predicted model, not a curated record. The transcript has 3 exons.